Long non-coding RNA from Solanum tuberosum (potato), 413 nucleotides. RefSeq lists it as uncharacterized. The record is from RefSeq and is a predicted model, not a curated record. The transcript has 2 exons. Lineage: Eukaryota; Viridiplantae; Streptophyta; Magnoliopsida; Solanales; Solanaceae.
UUGAAUAAUAAGAAGAAAGGAAAGAAACAAAAAUUAAGAAGGAAAGAAGAUGAUGAGCCAGGGGCUAGCAGGAUGAAGUUAAAACGGAAACAAAAAUCAGUUGAUUGUAGAAAAUGUGGUAAACCUGGCCACAACAGUAGAACUUGCAGUUUCUCCUCAGAUGACAUUGAAAUUCAUCCGUCGGACUACCUUUGUAGUUUGGACUCCAUCAUGGUCGAGGAAGCAUCAAGUUGCCAAAAUGUUGAAAAGCUACCUGUUAGAAGAGGUACAUCUCAAGCCAGCCAACAACGUCAGAGCUUUCCAUUUUCUCUAUGAAGUUGCAAUAUUGAAGAAAAUACAUUUUUAGUUUUGAAUCUUUUUUUUGGAUAUUUGAUGUAUCAAACUAAUGAUAUGUGACUAGUUUUUGUUGUUCA